RNAcentral lists this long non-coding RNA (253 nucleotides) under Pan troglodytes (chimpanzee). RNAcentral describes it as "long non-coding RNA NONPTRT004508". The record is from RNAcentral. Lineage: Eukaryota; Metazoa; Chordata; Mammalia; Primates; Hominidae.
GGGAGCCCAGGGUGGGUGGAUCACAAGGUCAGGAGUUUGAGACCAGCCUGGCCAACAUAGUGAAACCCCGUCUCUAACAUACAAAAAAUUAGCUGGGCGUGGUGGCGGUUGGUUGUAAUUCCAGCUGCUCUGGAGGCUGAAGGAGGAGAAUCGCUUGAACCCGGGAGGCGGAGGUUGCAGUGAGCCAGUGUCUCACCAUUGCACUCCAGCCUGGUAACAAGAGUGAAACUGUGUCUCACAAAAAAAAAAUAAA